Molecule: long non-coding RNA, 526 nt
Organism: Ostrinia nubilalis (European corn borer)
Lineage: Eukaryota; Metazoa; Arthropoda; Insecta; Lepidoptera; Crambidae
Exons: 2
Source: RefSeq, a predicted model, not a curated record
CAUGGCGGGAAAACUCGAAAUAUUAGUCUCUAUUUGCAGUAUUGGCUCUGUGCACGAUUACAGCGCCAACUAGCGUCCACAACUUUGUGUGCUCUGUCACAUUGACAUUUAGGUCGUAUAUUUGUGAAAAAAUAUCGAAAUGAAAAAAUAACAAAUAUUUUCAACUAAUAAAUUGUUGUGAUACCACGAUUUGGGUGGAAAAAAGGUUUUGAAAUAAUUUUGGUCAUUCAAAUCAAAUGAGAUCGAAAUGAGUAUUGUUUUGAAGACCGGGUUUGUGAGUUUUACAAUAUCAAAUUCCAACCACAAACCGUAUUUAAAAAGGAAAGUUGUUGGUAUUGGCUGGACAAGUCCGAGAUGUAGAAGAAUUAAGAACAAAACAAGGGCAAAGUUCAAUAAUUCACGCUCUCAUCAUAAGGCAAACAUCUGUGCACAACAACUACAGUGACUCAUUUUUGUACUACCACGUUGUAUAGUCUAGUUAUUUCCAAAUUGUAAACGGCUAUUAAACCAGCCCUAUCGAAAAACA